RNAcentral lists this ribosomal RNA (383 nucleotides) under uncultured bacterium. Its description in RNAcentral is "bacterial SSU rRNA". It matches the Rfam family "Bacterial small subunit ribosomal RNA", at positions 330 to 711 of the family's 1533-position model. The record is from RNAcentral.
ACCAGACUCCUACGGGAGGCAGCAGUGAGGAAUAUUGGUCAAUGGCCGAGAGGCUGAACCAGCCAAGUCGCGUGAGGGAAGAAUGUCCUAAGGAUUGUAAACCUCUUUUGUCGGGGAGCAAAAAGGCUCUGCGGAGUCGUAUUGGGAGUACCCGAAGAAAAAGCAUCGGCUAACUCCGUGCCAGCAGCCGCGGUAAUACGGAGGAUGCGAGCGUUAUCCGGAUUUAUUGGGUUUAAAGGGUGCGCAGGCGGAGGUGCAAGUCAGCGGUCAAAUUGCGGGGCUCAACCCCGUACUGCCGUUGAAACUGCAUCCCUUGAGUGCGCGAGAAGUAUGCGGUAUGCGUGGUGUAGCGGUGAAAUGCAUAGAUAUCACGCAGAACUCCG